AAAAUGGUAAAAUAACUUUUCGUGUCCCCAUAGAAAAAGACGGUAAUACCCCUAAUUAAACCGCACCCUUUCAUUCCAAACCCUAAAAUUACCCAGAGCACACACGACAUCCUCCCUCAACCCCAUCGCCCUUUCUCUCUCAACCUUUUCGAAUCUGCUCUUCAAUGGCUUUCCUCUACUCAGAAAUUCAACAAAACGUGAUUCUCCGGCUGCGAGGAUCAACUAUUUGGUGAAGACUAAUAUCCCUCAAACUCUCUCCGCCUUCAUGUCCGUCCGGCACGUCGAAUUCCAGAACCACAAAUCUGGAAAGUAGAAGUUCCCAAAACAAUAAUGAAUUGCAAAUCUGGAAUUGAAUCCUACUUUUGCUCCAAUCGAAUUUUUGUCCGCUCCAAUUAGGGUUCUAUAAAUUUGGGUGAAAUUCCUGGGUUUGAUCGAUCUUCUUCAAAUAUCGGGAAUUUAGUUAAUUUUUUAGUUUGUUGAGGUUUCUGCAAUUUGUUUUUGAGAAAAUGGGAAAGCGUGGAAAUAAUUAGAAGAAAGCCCCUCAGGAUUUGAAGAAAAUGAAGCUAUUCUGAAAAAAUUCAAUAAUAUGGAGGAUGAAAUUGAUGUCUAUAAUGGUGGGAUCAAAAAAUAUGACAGUGUUUCCGGACUUUCUGAGGAACCGACAGAUGCAUUUAUAUAACAAAAUCUUUUCCAUGGCAGAUGUUAUUGUCACUCCGACAAACUGGGUA
Molecule: long non-coding RNA, 728 nt
Organism: Spinacia oleracea (spinach)
Lineage: Eukaryota; Viridiplantae; Streptophyta; Magnoliopsida; Caryophyllales; Amaranthaceae
Exons: 5
Source: RefSeq, a predicted model, not a curated record